CCUACGGGAGACAGCAGUGAGGAAUAUUGGUCAAUGGCCGGAAGGCUGAACCAGCAAUGCCGCGUGAAGGUCAGUGCCCUAUGGGCGUUAAACUUCUUUUGUGCGGGAGCAAUAAUGGUCACGUGUGGCCAGACGAGAGUACCGUACGAAUAAGCAUCGGCUAACUCCGUGCCAGCAGCCGCGGUAAUACGGGGGAUGCAAGCGUUAUCCGGAUUUAUUGGGUUUAAAGGGUGCGUAGGCUGUGAGGUAAGUCAGCGGUGAAAUGCCCCCGCUCAACGGGGUGAAGUGCCAUUGAUACUGCCUGGCUGGAAUGCGGAUGCCGUGGGAGGAAUGUGUGGUGUAGCGGUGAAAUGCAUAGAUAUCACACAGAACACCGAUUGCGAAGGCAUCUCACGAAUCCGCGAUUGACGCUGAUGCACGAAAGCGUGGGUAUCAAACAGGAUUAGAUACCCUUGUAGUC
RNAcentral lists this ribosomal RNA (460 nucleotides) under uncultured bacterium. RNAcentral describes it as "partial 16S ribosomal RNA". It matches the Rfam family "Bacterial small subunit ribosomal RNA", at positions 338 to 795 of the family's 1533-position model. The record is from RNAcentral.